RNAcentral lists this ribosomal RNA (496 nucleotides) under uncultured bacterium. RNAcentral's name for it is "partial 16S ribosomal RNA". It matches the Rfam family "Bacterial small subunit ribosomal RNA", at positions 28 to 506 of the family's 1533-position model. The record is from RNAcentral.
GAUGAACGCUGGCGGCGUGCCUAAUACAUGCAAGUCGAGCGAACAGACGAGGAGCUUGCUCCUCUGACGUUAGCGGCGGACGGGUGAGUAACACGUGGAUAACCUACCUAUCAGACUGGGAUAACUUCGGGAAACCGGAGCUAAUACCGGAUAAUAUAUUGAACCGCAUGGUUCAAUAGUGAAAGACGGUUUUGCUGUCACUUAUAGAUGGAUCCGCGCCGCAUUAGCUAGUUGGUAAGGUAACGGCUUACCAAGGCAACGAUGCGUAGCCGACCUGAGAGGGUGAUCGGCCACACUGGAGCUGAGACACGGUCCAGACUCCUACGGGAGGCAGCAGUAGGGAAUCUUCCGCAAGGGGCGAAAGCCUGACGGAGCAACGCAGCGUGAGUGAUGAAGGGCUGCGGAUCGUAAAACGCUGUUAUUAGGGAAGAACAAAUGUGUAAGUAACUAUGCACGUCUUGACGGUACCUAAACAGAAAGCCACGGCUAACUACGU